AAUGUCAAAUAAACAACAUUAAAUAAAAGAAAGUUGACACAGAGGACGACACAUGCCAGUCUGAAGGGGAAUUCCAAGGAAGACGAUUUGAUGACAAAGUCAGGUCAAAAGGCUAUCUGUACAAUUACGGUUGAAUACUGGUAAUGGGAAGUAUGUAACGAUUGGAAUCUUUUCAAAAAACUUCUGUUAGUCAGACCAAAUAAACAAUGCAUGGAUAGUUGGGCAGAAUUGAAACAAAUAACAUUAUCUAAUGGAUGGUGUUACAUAAACGAUGCCAAUGAUGUAAGAGUUAAAAGAAAAAAA
Molecule: long non-coding RNA, 303 nt
Organism: Polistes dominula (European paper wasp)
Lineage: Eukaryota; Metazoa; Arthropoda; Insecta; Hymenoptera; Vespidae
Source: RefSeq, a predicted model, not a curated record